GAUCUUUCAACAAGACCUGAUACUGUCACUUUUAGGUCGAAAGUCAAUCUUUGGAGAACCAGUGACAACGUGUUCACAUCCGACAUUGCUCUGUGAGCUGAACCAAUCAGUUGAAUCUUGUAGAAUUCACGAAGGGCUUGCAGUGAUGUUCCUGAAGAAACCUUCAAUCCUGUCACAAAAAACAAAAUCAGGUUACUGUCAUCAUACCUGAAAUACCCAAACAAAAAAGAAAAACAAAACAAACAACAAAAGCAAUAGAACAGACCCAAACACACAUGUGCAGAGAGAGUGAGAGAGAGAGAGAGAGAGAGAGAGAGAGAGGGAGGGAGGGAGGGACCUUCAGACUUAUUUUUUUCACGGGCUAGAGGGAUCGUAUCCACAAACCUCCAAUUCUCAGGAACCUCGGUGGAGCAGCGGCUAAAUUCAUUUAUCAGGAAAGGAACAUCGAAAGAGCGAGCAUUAUGAGCAACCCAUAAUACAUACCCUCCAGGUUUCUGGCGGCUUUUGACAUACUGCAGUAAGAUUGGAAUCAGGUCUUCCAUCCUGCACGAAGUUCACAAAGUAGGAUGAGGCAAAUGACUCAAAAUUUCAGGGCCAUCUCGGGAUUAAGCUUGGCGAGCUCCGAGGCUGGGUAGUAGCUAGUUUUAUUUGCGAAGGUCUGUAAGAUGUUUCAUGGGUUUUAGUUAUGUUUAAAGUCCCCGGUUUUGUUUUAUGGUUGUUGGGACUGGGUUGACUUUGUACUGUAAUAUGGUUUGUAAUAAGGAUAUUGGGAGACUCCUAUAUAUGUUAGAAGUUUAGAACUUUGGUAUUA
This is a long non-coding RNA of Malania oleifera, 811 nucleotides long. RefSeq lists it as uncharacterized. The record is from RefSeq and is a predicted model, not a curated record. NCBI's taxonomy places the organism in Eukaryota, Viridiplantae, Streptophyta, Magnoliopsida, Santalales, Ximeniaceae. The transcript has 2 exons.